UAACCUGCCCAAGAGAUCGGGAUAACACCUGGAAACAGAUGCUAAUACCGGAUAACAACAGAUGAUGCCUAUCAACUGUUUAAAAGAUGGUUCUGCUAUCACUCUUGGAUGGACCUGCGGUGCAUUAGCUAGUUAGUAGGGUAACGGCCUACCAAGGCGAUGAUGCAUAGCCGAGUUGAGAGACUGAUCGGCCACAUUGGGACUGAGACACGGCCCAAACUCCUACGGGAGGCAGCAGUU
This 240-nucleotide ribosomal RNA is filed under the name uncultured Lactobacillus sp. Its description in RNAcentral is "partial 16S ribosomal RNA". It matches the Rfam family "Bacterial small subunit ribosomal RNA", at positions 122 to 355 of the family's 1533-position model. Lineage: Bacteria; Bacillati; Bacillota; Bacilli; Lactobacillales; Lactobacillaceae. The record is from RNAcentral.